GAUGAACGCUAGCGGCAGGCUUAAUACAUGCAAGUUGAGGGGCAGCAUGAUAUACGCGAGUAUAUUGAUGGCGACCGGCGGACGGGUGAGUAAUAGGUAGGAGACCUACCUCAUACAGGGGGAUAGCAUAGAGAAAUCUGUGGUAAUACCCCAUGAGGUUAUAUGAAUAGAGGCAUAUAAUCAAAGCAUAAGUGAUUAUGCGGUAUGAGAGGGGCCUACUGACCAUUAGCUAGUUGGUGAGGUAAGGGCUCACCAAGGCGAAGAUGGUUAGGGGUUUUGAGAGAGAGACCCCCCCACAUUGGAACUGAGAGACGGUCCAGACUCCUACGGGAGGCAGCAGUAGGGAAUAUUGGGCAAUGGGCGAAAGCCUGACCCAGCCAUGCCGCGUGAAGGAAGACGGCCUUAUGGGUUGUAAACUUCUUUACUACGCGAAUAGAGGUUAGUACGAGAUACUAAUAGGAAGGUAGUGUAGUAAAAGCACCGGCUAACUCCGUG
This 495-nucleotide ribosomal RNA is filed under the name uncultured bacterium. RNAcentral describes it as "bacterial SSU rRNA". It matches the Rfam family "Bacterial small subunit ribosomal RNA", at positions 28 to 507 of the family's 1533-position model. The record is from RNAcentral.